CAGCCGCCGCGGGAAUACAGAGGGUGCGAGCGUUAAUCGGAUUUACUGGGCGUAAAGCGUGCGUAGGCGGCUUUUUAAGUCGGAUGUAAAAUCCCUGAGCUUAACUUAGGAAUUGCAUUCGAUACUGGGAAGCUAGAGUAUGGGAGAGGAUGGUAGAAUUCCAGGUGUAGCGGUGAAAUGCGUAGAGAUCUGGAGGAAUACCGAUGGCGAAGGCAGCCAUCUGGCCUAAUACUGACGCUGAGGUACGAAAGCAUGGGGAGCAAACAGGAUUAGAUACCCCUGUAGUCCAUGUCUCUUAUAA
RNAcentral lists this ribosomal RNA (301 nucleotides) under uncultured bacterium. Its description in RNAcentral is "partial 16S ribosomal RNA". It matches the Rfam family "Bacterial small subunit ribosomal RNA", at positions 509 to 809 of the family's 1533-position model. The record is from RNAcentral.